Molecule: non-coding RNA, 241 nt
Organism: Candidatus Desantisbacteria bacterium CG1_02_38_46
Lineage: Bacteria; Candidatus Desantisiibacteriota
Source: Rfam
UAUCGGUAGUCAUGAUGAAGUUUAUUAAAAUUUGUUCUUUAAAUUUUUUGGAAACUCGUGUAAAUCGAGUGCGGUUCCGCCACUGUGAUUGGGGACGAAAGCUGCAAUAUGCCACUUGUAGGCGGGGACACUAUUCUACCACCUUCGGUCGGUAAAUAGGGACAGUCCCCUAAAGCAAGGAAGGCGCAGCAAGUAGGUUUGAACUCAUAAGCCAGAAGACAGAUUCUUCUAUGAGACCUUC